RNAcentral lists this ribosomal RNA (856 nucleotides) under uncultured bacterium. Its description in RNAcentral is "bacterial SSU rRNA". It matches the Rfam family "Bacterial small subunit ribosomal RNA", at positions 1 to 902 of the family's 1533-position model. The record is from RNAcentral.
GCUUAGAGUUUGAUCCUGGCUCAGGAUGAACGCUGGCGGUAUGCUUAACACAUGCAAGUCGAACGGAGUACUUCGGUACUUAGUGGCGGACGGGUGAGUAACGCGUGAGAAUCUGCCUUCAGGAUGGGGAUAACAGUGGGAAACCAUUGCUAAUACCCAAUGAGCCGAGAGGUAAAAAAUUUAUUGCCUGAAGAGGAGCUCGCGUCCGAUUAGUUAGUUGGUGGGGUAAAGGCUUACCAAGACGGCGAUCGGUAGCUGGUCUGAGAGGAUGAGCAGCCACACUGGGACUGAGACACGGCCCAGACUCCUACGGGAGGCAGCAGUGGGGAAUUUUCCGCAAUGGGCGCAAGCCUGACGGAGCAAUACCGCGUGAGGGAGGAAGGCCUUUGGGUUGUAAACCUCUUUUCUUAAGGAAGAAGAUCUGACGGUACUUAAGGAAUCAGCAUCGGCUAACUCCGUGCCAGCAGCCGCGGUAAUACGGAGGAUGCAAGCGUUAUCCGGAAUUAUUGGGCGUAAAGCGUCCGCAGGCGGCACUAUAAGUCUGCUGUCAAAGACCGCAGCUCAACUGCGGAAAGGCAGUGGAAACUGUAGAGCUAGAGUACGGUAGGGGUAGAGGGAAUUCCCAGUGUAGCGGUGAAAUGCGUAGAGAUUGGGAAGAACACCAGUGGCGAAAGCGCUCUACUGGGCCGUAACUGACGCUCAGGGACGAAAGCUAGGGGAGCGAAAGGGAUUAGAUACCCCUGUAGUCCUAGCUGUAAACGAUGGAUACUAGGCGUAGCUUGUAUCGACCCGAGCUGUGCCGAAGCUAACGCGUUAAGUAUCCCGCCUGGGGAGUACGCACGCAAGUGUGAAACUC